This 210-nucleotide ribosomal RNA is filed under the name uncultured Actinomycetales bacterium. Its description in RNAcentral is "partial 16S ribosomal RNA". It matches the Rfam family "Bacterial small subunit ribosomal RNA", at positions 123 to 334 of the family's 1533-position model. Lineage: Bacteria; Bacillati; Actinomycetota; Actinomycetes; Actinomycetales. The record is from RNAcentral.
AACCUGCCCUUGACUUUGGGAUAACUUCAGGAAACUGGGGCUAAUACCGGAUAGGAGCUCCUGCUGCAUGGUGGGGGUUGGAAAGUUUCGGCGGUUGGGGAUGGACUCGCGGCUUAUCAGCUUGUUGGUGGGGUAGUGGCUUACCAAGGCUUUGACGGGUAGCCGGCCUGAGAGGGUGGACGGCCACAUUGGGACUGAGAUACGGCCCAG